UGAAAUAGCUCAAUUGGUAGAGCAACUGAAUCGUAAUCAGUAGGUUGCGGGUUCAAUUCCUGUUUUCAGC
RNAcentral lists this transfer RNA (70 nucleotides) under bovine gut metagenome. It matches the Rfam family "tRNA". From Rfam's summary of the family: Transfer RNA (tRNA) molecules are approximately 80 nucleotides in length. The record is from RNAcentral.